This 253-nucleotide ribosomal RNA is filed under the name uncultured bacterium. Its description in RNAcentral is "partial 16S ribosomal RNA". It matches the Rfam family "Bacterial small subunit ribosomal RNA", at positions 524 to 776 of the family's 1533-position model. The record is from RNAcentral.
UACGGGGGGGGCAAGCGUUGUUCGGAAUUACUGGGCGUAAAGCGUGCGUAGGCGGUCCGCAAAGUCUGAUGUGAAAGCCCCGGGCUCAACCUGGGAACUGCAUUGGAAACUAACGGGCUCGAGUGUGGCAGAGGGGGGUGGAAUUCCACGUGUAGCAGUGAAAUGCGUAGAGAUGUGGAGGAACACCGAUGGCGAAGGCAGCCCCCUGGGCUAACACUGACGCUCAGGCACGAAAGCGUGGGGAGCAAACAGG